GACGGCUCAACUGUUAGGCUUCUGGGGGAUACUGUCAGACUUGGAACCGGGAGAGGUAAGAGGUACUACGGGGGUAGGAGUGAAAUCUUGUAAUCCUUGUGGGACCACCAGUGGCGAAGGCGUCUUACCAGAACGGGUUCGACGGUGAGGGACGAAAGCUGGGGGCACGAACCGGAUUAGAUACCCGGGUAGUCCCAGCCGUAAACGAUGCUCGCUAGGUGUCUGGGAUGGUGCGACCGUUUCAGGUGCCGCAGGGAAGCCGUGAAGCGAGCCACCUGGGAAGUACGGCCGCAAGGCUGAAACUUAAAGGAAUUGGCGGGGGAGCACUACAACGGGUGGAGCCUGCGGUUUAAUUGGACUCAACGCCGGAAAACUCACCUGGGGCGACAGCAAUAUGUAGGUCAGGCUGAAGGUCUUACCUGAAUCGCUGAGAGGAGG
Molecule: ribosomal RNA, 438 nt
Filed under: uncultured methanogenic archaeon
Lineage: Archaea; Methanobacteriati; Methanobacteriota
Description: bacterial SSU rRNA
Rfam family: Archaeal small subunit ribosomal RNA
Source: RNAcentral